This 2304-nucleotide ribosomal RNA is filed under the name Triticum aestivum (bread wheat). Its description in RNAcentral is "partial small subunit ribosomal RNA". Lineage: Eukaryota; Viridiplantae; Streptophyta; Magnoliopsida; Poales; Poaceae. The record is from RNAcentral.
AUGGCCGCCGCCGGCGCUGUGACCAGGAGGAGCAUGCCCUUGUUCGACGGCGGCGUGUUCCUGGGCGACGUGGACGUGCUCCUCCCACCAGGAACUGAAAGCGCAUCGUCAUCUUGCAUGGAUCUCGGCCAACCGGCCGUGUUCCCGAGGAACGAGAUCCGGAUCAGCCGCCGGUCGCCGGCGAGUGAGAGGUGCCCUCCGCUGGCCGUGCUGCAGGUCAUCAGCGCCUACUCUUUGCGCUGCAAGCUCGAGGCCAGAGCAGCCGAUCUCCAUCCCACGUCCCUUCUGCACAGGCUCCACGACUCCUGCUGGAAGAAGGGCAUGACUGCUGUGGUGGAGGACGGAGAGGAGGAACUACACCUCAUUGCUAUGCAAAGCAAGCAGGUGAAAGGUCUAGCUUGCUUCUGGUGUUGGUCUGCACCAACGGGGCUUUAUGCGGCAUGCCUUCGGAUGCUUAAUAACCGAUGUCUAGCCCUCGUGCUUGACCUUGAUGAAACCGUUGUGUUUUCUAACACAGCGGAAAUGUUCCAAAGUCGGUUGGACAAGAUUAUGUCAGGCUUGGAGGAUUCAGAGCUUGAUAGUGCUAACGAAUCAGCAAUGUCCGACAAGUUCAAUCGGACUUUUAACGAUAAACAGUUGCUUGUCGAUUUCAACGAAACAGGUAUUAUAACUAUAAAUUGUCUCCAAACAGUGAGGAGCCAUGAUGAACAGGGCAUGUUGCGUAAACCCAGUGGACAGCUCGAGUUUAUUACCCGUCCUAUAAUCAGGUUACAGGGCAGGAAUGCGGUACUGACUCGCAUCGCUCCAACGGAUCCAAGCACUGGUUAUUUUGUAAACAUAAGGCCUGGUUGGGAUGAUUUGAAGGGUUAUUUGAAUACUGCCAGUGGGCGCCAAAGAUUUAAAGUCUAUGUUUGCACAAUGGCCGGAAGAGAUUAUGCUCUUGAGAUAUGGAGACUGCUUGAUCCAGAAGGCCGUUUGAUCAGUCUAAAUGAGAUUUCACAACGCUUAAUAUGUGUGAGGCCAGAUUGCAAGAAGUCACUUGAGCGUGUGUUUCAAGAUAGCUUAUGUCACCCAAGUAUGGCCACGGUGCUUGAUGACCGUAGGGAUGUUUGGGAUGAAAGAGAUAAACGGCGAGUUUUUGUAGCACCACCUUACAAACCAUUAGUUGACCCUGAAGACAAGGUGGCGAAUGGUCAUAGUGCGCUUCAUACUCUAACAAAUAUUGCAUGCCAUGCCCGCAAAGGAUUCUUCAGUUACUUUGAUGGGAUGCUACUUAAAAAUAUGAACGAGCUAAUGUAUGAAAAUGAGGUAUUGGAUCUUCCAUACAACCCAGAUGUUGGUGACUACCUACAACUUGGCGGGUCAUGUGGCGGUGCUGGCUCUGACGGGCCUGCCCUGCUGCCCAGACCAACGUCGCUUGGGUACUGGCCACCGAACGGGCGUCCACGCGUCGGCUCUCCGCCAAGACGCGCUCCUCUCCUCGCUUGCUCCAGGAGCCCCUUGGUUUGCCGCUGCCAUGGCUGGGAUCGAGGGUUUAGGCUGAUACCAUGUAGAGGAACCCCUCUCUCCGUGCCGCUUCCUCCCGAUCCACCCUCCUCGCGCCGCUGUCCUCUUCCCGUGCCGCCCCUCCCCUCUUCCCGCACCCCGAGCCGCUACACCCUGCACCCGCGCCGCCGAACCACCUCGCAGCCAUGUCGGCUAGGUCAGCCUCCUCCGGUCCGAGCAACCCGUUCGACUCCUCCUACGGUACCGAGCCCGAAGAGCCCCUUGCCGCCGACCAGGAAUUUUUUGGGUGUCACCAAAAGGACUCCACCAUCAACGCCUACUGUCUCCGGCUCAAGACCCUCUCUGACGAGCUCAACAACGUCGGCGGCGGAUGAAGCAACUCCGCACCCGCGCUGCCCACACCGCCCGCGCCGCCGGCCUCUCCCACGGCGCUCCUACACCACCAUCGGCGCCUUGUCCUCCGGUCGUCACGCCGCACCGCUGCCACUAGUGCAGAACAGGCCUUUAUCACCGUACCGGUUGGUAGCAUCAACCGGUACUAAAUGUUUGGGGGGGGGGUUGGUUUUAAUUUUUAUUUUUUCAUUAAUUUUUACUUCAACUUUUCCUUCGUCAACUUUAAUGUCUAACAAGAUCCAGUGGAAGCUGCAUGCACAUAAGUUUGCAUCUCGGGAACGUAAACGGUUUGCCCACAAUAAUAUUGGGCGCACGCACUCUCAUGUGUUGUUGGCACAACAAGCGGGGUGGUCGAUUGCGCCGCCUGUUCUCCCAGCUGGGGAACGGUUUUCCCGCAUUUUUUGA